RNAcentral lists this ribosomal RNA (253 nucleotides) under uncultured bacterium. RNAcentral's name for it is "partial 16S ribosomal RNA". It matches the Rfam family "Bacterial small subunit ribosomal RNA", at positions 524 to 776 of the family's 1533-position model. The record is from RNAcentral.
UACGUAGGUGGCAAGCGUUGUCCGGAUUUAUUGGGUUUAAAGGGUGCGUAGGCGGCUUUGUAAGUCAGUGGUGAAAUAUCGCAGCUUAACUGUGAGGGUGCCAAUGAUACUGCGAGGCUUGAGUACAGAUGAGGUAGGCGGAAUUGACGGUGUAGCGGUGAAAUGCUUAGAUAUCGUCAAGAACACCUAUAGCGAAGGCAGCUUACUAGGCUGUAACUGACGCUGAGGCACGAAAGUGUGGGGAUCAAACAGG